Molecule: ribosomal RNA, 2902 nt
Filed under: Escherichia coli DEC11D
Lineage: Bacteria; Pseudomonadati; Pseudomonadota; Gammaproteobacteria; Enterobacterales; Enterobacteriaceae
Description: bacterial LSU rRNA
Rfam family: Bacterial large subunit ribosomal RNA
Source: RNAcentral
UAAGCGACUAAGCGUACACGGUGGAUGCCCUGGCAGUCAGAGGCGAUGAAGGACGUGCUAAUCUGCGAUAAGCGUCGGUAAGGUGAUAUGAACCGUUAUAACCGGCGAUUUCCGAAUGGGGAAACCCAGUGUGAUUCGUCACACUAUCAUUAACUGAAUCCAUAGGUUAAUGAGGCGAACCGGGGGAACUGAAACAUCUAAGUACCCCGAGGAAAAGAAAUCAACCGAGAUUCCCCCAGUAGCGGCGAGCGAACGGGGAGCAGCCCAGAGCCUGAAUCAGUGUGUGUGUUAGUGGAAGCGUCUGGAAAGGCGCGCGAUACAGGGUGACAGCCCCGUACACAAAAAUGCACAUGCUGUGAGCUCGAUGAGUAGGGCGGGACACGUGGUAUCCUGUCUGAAUAUGGGGGGACCAUCCUCCAAGGCUAAAUACUCCUGACUGACCGAUAGUGAACCAGUACCGUGAGGGAAAGGCGAAAAGAACCCCGGCGAGGGGAGUGAAAAAGAACCUGAAACCGUGUACGUACAAGCAGUGGGAGCACAGAGCAAUCUGUGUGACUGCGUACCUUUUGUAUAAUGGGUCAGCGACUUAUAUUCUGUAGCAAGGUUAACCGAAUAGGGGAGCCGAAGGGAAACCGAGUCUUAACUGGGCGUUAAGUUGCAGGGUAUAGACCCGAAACCCGGUGAUCUAGCCAUGGGCAGGUUGAAGGUUGGGUAACACUAACUGGAGGACCGAACCGACUAAUGUUGAAAAAUUAGCGGAUGACUUGUGGCUGGGGGUGAAAGGCCAAUCAAACCGGGAGAUAGCUGGUUCUCCCCGAAAGCUAUUUAGGUAGCGCCUCGUGAAUUCAUCUCCGGGGGUAGAGCACUGUUUCGGCAAGGGGGUCAUCCCGACUUACCAACCCGAUGCAAACUGCGAAUACCGGAGAAUGUUAUCACGGGAGACACACGGCGGGUGCUAACGUCCGUCGUGAAGAGGGAAACAACCCAGACCGCCAGCUAAGGUCCCAAAGUCAUGGUUAAGUGGGAAACGAUGUGGGAAGGCCCAGACAGCCAGGAUGUUGGCUUAGAAGCAGCCAUCAUUUAAAGAAAGCGUAAUAGCUCACUGGUCGAGUCGGCCUGCGCGGAAGAUGUAACGGGGCUAAACCAUGCACCGAAGCUGCGGCAGCGACGCUUAUGCGUUGUUGGGUAGGGGAGCGUUCUGUAAGCCUGCGAAGGUGUGCUGUGAGGCAUGCUGGAGGUAUCAGAAGUGCGAAUGCUGACAUAAGUAACGAUAAAGCGGGUGAAAAGCCCGCUCGCCGGAAGACCAAGGGUUCCUGUCCAACGUUAAUCGGGGCAGGGUGAGUCGACCCCUAAGGCGAGGCCGAAAGGCGUAGUCGAUGGGAAACAGGUUAAUAUUCCUGUACUUGGUGUUACUGCGAAGGGGGGACGGAGAAGGCUAUGUUGGCCGGGCGACGGUUGUCCCGGUUUAAGCGUGUAGGCUGGUUUUCCAGGCAAAUCCGGAAAAUCAAGGCUGAGGCGUGAUGACGAGGCACUACGGUGCUGAAGCAACAAAUGCCCUGCUUCCAGGAAAAGCCUCUAAGCAUCAGGUAACAUCAAAUCGUACCCCAAACCGACACAGGUGGUCAGGUAGAGAAUACCAAGGCGCUUGAGAGAACUCGGGUGAAGGAACUAGGCAAAAUGGUGCCGUAACUUCGGGAGAAGGCACGCUGAUAUGUAGGUGAAGUCCCUCGCGGAUGGAGCUGAAAUCAGUCGAAGAUACCAGCUGGCUGCAACUGUUUAUUAAAAACACAGCACUGUGCAAACACGAAAGUGGACGUAUACGGUGUGACGCCUGCCCGGUGCCGGAAGGUUAAUUGAUGGGGUCAGCGCAAGCGAAGCUCUUGAUCGAAGCCCCGGUAAACGGCGGCCGUAACUAUAACGGUCCUAAGGUAGCGAAAUUCCUUGUCGGGUAAGUUCCGACCUGCACGAAUGGCGUAAUGAUGGCCAGGCUGUCUCCACCCGAGACUCAGUGAAAUUGAACUCGCUGUGAAGAUGCAGUGUACCCGCGGCAAGACGGAAAGACCCCGUGAACCUUUACUAUAGCUUGACACUGAACAUUGAGCCUUGAUGUGUAGGAUAGGUGGGAGGCUUUGAAGUGUGGACGCCAGUCUGCAUGGAGCCGGCCUUGAAAUACCACCCUUUAAUGUUUGAUGUUCUAACGUUGACCCGUGAUCCGGGUUGCGGACAGUGUCUGGUGGGUAGUUUGACUGGGGCGGUCUCCUCCUAAAGAGUAACGGAGGAGCACGAAGGUUGGCUAAUCCUGGUCGGACAUCAGGAGGUUAGUGCAAUGGCAUAAGCCAGCUUGACUGCGAGCGUGACGGCGCGAGCAGGUGCGAAAGCAGGUCAUAGUGAUCCGGUGGUUCUGAAUGGAAGGGCCAUCGCUCAACGGAUAAAAGGUACUCCGGGGAUAACAGGCUGAUACCGCCCAAGAGUUCAUAUCGACGGCGGUGUUUGGCACCUCGAUGUCGGCUCAUCACAUCCUGGGGCUGAAGUAGGUCCCAAGGGUAUGGCUGUUCGCCAUUUAAAGUGGUACGCGAGCUGGGUUUAGAACGUCGUGAGACAGUUCGGUCCCUAUCUGCCGUGGGCGCUGGAGAACUGAGGGGGGCUGCUCCUAGUACGAGAGGACCGGAGUGGACGCAUCACUGGUGUUCGGGUUGUCAUGCCAAUGGCACUGCCCGGUAGCUAAAUGCGGAAGAGAUAAGUGCUGAAAGCAUCUAAGCACGAAACUUGCCCCGAGAUGAGUUCUCCCUGACUCCUUGAGAGUCCUGAAGGAACGUUGAAGACGACGACGUUGAUAGGCCGGGUGUGUAAGCGCAGCGAUGCGUUGAGCUAACCGGUACUAAUGAACCGUGAGGCUUAACCU